Daucus carota subsp. sativus is the source of this 87-nucleotide non-coding RNA. The record is from Rfam. Lineage: Eukaryota; Viridiplantae; Streptophyta; Magnoliopsida; Apiales; Apiaceae.
AAUCCCUGUGAAGAUUAGCAAUUCAAGUUAAUGUUAAAAGUAGUGGACUGAUAAUCUUUGCUGAAUAAUCUAUAUAUCUGAGGGAUU